RNAcentral lists this ribosomal RNA (442 nucleotides) under uncultured bacterium. RNAcentral describes it as "partial 16S ribosomal RNA". It matches the Rfam family "Bacterial small subunit ribosomal RNA", at positions 338 to 795 of the family's 1533-position model. The record is from RNAcentral.
CCUACGGUGCGCAGCAGUGGGGAAUAUUGGGCAAUGGGCGCAAGCCUGACCCAGCAACGCCGCGUGAAGGAAGAAGGCUUUCGGGUUGUAAACUUCUUUUAAGAGGGAAGAGCAGAAGACGGUACCUCUUGAAUAAGCCACGGCUAACUACGUGCCAGCAGCCGCGGUAAUACGUCGGUGGCAAGCGUUGUCCGGAUUUACUGGGUGUAAAGGGCGUGUAGCCGGGCUGACAAGUCAGAUGUGAAAUUCCGGGGCUCAACCCCGGACCUGCAUUUGAAACUGUUGGUCUUGAGUAUCGGAGAGGCAGGCUGAAUUCCGAGUGUAGCGGUGAAAAGCGUAGAGAUUAGGAGGAACACCAGGGGCGAAGGCGGGCGGCUGGACGACAACUGACGGGGAGGCGCGAAAGCGUGGGGAGCAAACAGGAUUAGAUACCCCGGUAGUC